This 71-nucleotide transfer RNA is filed under the name Marmota monax (woodchuck). RNAcentral describes it as "tRNA.Ala". The record is from RNAcentral. Lineage: Eukaryota; Metazoa; Chordata; Mammalia; Rodentia; Sciuridae.
AGGGAUGAAGCUCAGUGGUAGAGUGCUUGCCCAGCAUGCACAGGCCCUGAGUUCAAUCCUCAGCACUGCAA